RNAcentral lists this transfer RNA (89 nucleotides) under Flavobacteriales bacterium. RNAcentral describes it as "tRNA-Ser". It matches the Rfam family "tRNA". From Rfam's summary of the family: Transfer RNA (tRNA) molecules are approximately 80 nucleotides in length. Their secondary structure includes four short double-helical elements and three loops (D, anti-codon, and T loops). RNAcentral also lists the same sequence under 1 other name. Lineage: Bacteria; Pseudomonadati; Bacteroidota; Flavobacteriia; Flavobacteriales. The record is from RNAcentral.
GGAGGUUUGGCAGAGUUGGUCGAUUGCACCGGUCUUGAAAACCGGCGUGCCGCAAGGUACCGGGGGUUCGAAUCCCUCAGCCUCCGCAA